This 270-nucleotide ribosomal RNA is filed under the name uncultured archaeon. RNAcentral's name for it is "partial 16S ribosomal RNA". It matches the Rfam family "Archaeal small subunit ribosomal RNA", at positions 477 to 747 of the family's 1478-position model. The record is from RNAcentral.
CAGCACCUCAAGUGGUCAGGAUGAUUAUUAGGCCUAAAGCAUCCGUAGCCGGCGCUGUAAGUUUUCGGUUAAAUCUGUACGCUCAACGUACAGGCUGCCGGGAAUACUGCAGCGCUAGGGAGUGGGAGAGGUAGACGGUACUCGGUAGGAAGGGGUAAAAUCCUUUGAUCUAUUGAUGACCACCUGUGGCGAAGGCGGUCUACCAGAACACGUCCGACGGUGAGGGAUGAAAGCUGGGGGAGUAAACCGGAUUAGAUACCCGAGUAGUCC